GACGAACGCUGGCGGCGUGCUUAACACAUGCAAGUCGAACGGUAAGGCCCUUCGGGGUACACGAGUGGCGAACGGGUGAGUAACACGUGGGUGAUCUGCCCUGCACUUCGGGAUAAGCCUGGGAAACUGGGUCUAAUACCGGAUAGGACCCUGGGAUGCAUGUCCUGGGGUGGAAAGCUUUUGCGGUGUGGGAUGGGCCCGCGGCCUAUCAGCUUGUUGGUGGGGUGAUGGCCUACCAAGGCGACGACGGGUAGCCGGCCGGAGAGGGUGACCGGCCACACGGGGACUGAGAUACGGCCCAGACUCCUACGGGAGGCAGCAGUGGGGAAUAUUGCACAAUGGGCGCAAGCCUGAUGCAGCGACGCCGCGUGAGGGAUGACGGCCUUCGGGUUGUAAACCUCUUUCAGCACCGACGAAGCGCAAGUGACGGUAGGUGCAGAAGAAGGACCGGCCAACUACGUGCCAGCCGCCGCGGUAA
RNAcentral lists this ribosomal RNA (478 nucleotides) under uncultured bacterium. RNAcentral's name for it is "partial 16S ribosomal RNA". It matches the Rfam family "Bacterial small subunit ribosomal RNA", at positions 28 to 523 of the family's 1533-position model. The record is from RNAcentral.